GCCAGGUGUGGUGGUGCAUGCCUGUAAUCCCAGCUACUCGGGAGGCUGAGGCAGGAGAAUCGCUUGAACCCGGGAGGCAGAGGCUGCAGUGAGUUGAGAUUGUACCACUGCACUCUAGCCUGGGUGACAGAGUGAGACUCUGUCUCAA
This 148-nucleotide signal recognition particle RNA is filed under the name Chlorocebus sabaeus (green monkey). RNAcentral's name for it is "Metazoan signal recognition particle RNA". It matches the Rfam family "Metazoan signal recognition particle RNA". From Rfam's summary of the family: The signal recognition particle (SRP) is a universally conserved ribonucleoprotein. Lineage: Eukaryota; Metazoa; Chordata; Mammalia; Primates; Cercopithecidae. The record is from Rfam by way of RNAcentral.